RNAcentral lists this ribosomal RNA (460 nucleotides) under uncultured bacterium. Its description in RNAcentral is "partial 16S ribosomal RNA". It matches the Rfam family "Bacterial small subunit ribosomal RNA", at positions 338 to 795 of the family's 1533-position model. The record is from RNAcentral.
CCUACGGGAGGCAGCAGUGAGGAAUAUUGGUCAAUGGACGAGAGUCUGAACCAGCCAAGUAGCGUGAAGGAUGACUGCCCUAUGGGUUGUAAACUUCUUUUAUAUGGGAAUAAAACGUUCCACGUGUGGGAUUUUGUAUGUACCAUAUGAAUAAGGAUCGGCUAACUCCGUGCCAGCAGCCGCGGUAAUACGGAGGAUCCGAGCGUUAUCCGGAUUUAUUGGGUUUAAAGGGAGCGUAGGUGGAUUGUUAAGUCAGUUGUGAAAGUUUGCGGCUCAACCGUAAAAUUGCAGUUGAAACUGGCAGUCUUGAGUAGAGUAGAGGUGGGCGGAAUUCGUGGUGUAGCGGUGAAAUGCUUAGAUAUCACGAAGAACUCCGAUUGCGAAGGCAGUUCACUGAACUGCAACUGACACUGAGGCUCGAAAGUGUGGGUAUCAAACAGGAUUAGAUACCCCUGUAGUC